UACGUAGGGUGCAAGCGUUGUCCGGAAUCACUGGGCGUAAAGCGCGUGUAGGCGGUCCGGUAAGUCCGCUGUGAAAGUCGGGGGCUUAACUCUCGGAUGGCGGUGGAUACUGUCGGGCUUGAGUACGGAAGAGGCGAGUGGAAUUCCUGGUGUAGCGGUGAAAUGCGCAGAUAUCAGAAGGAACACCAAGUGCGAAGGCAGCUCGCUGGGACGUUACUGACGCUGAGACGCGAAAGCGUGGGGAGCAAACAGG
This 253-nucleotide ribosomal RNA is filed under the name uncultured bacterium. RNAcentral's name for it is "partial 16S ribosomal RNA". It matches the Rfam family "Bacterial small subunit ribosomal RNA", at positions 524 to 776 of the family's 1533-position model. The record is from RNAcentral.